This is a transfer RNA of 88 nucleotides. It matches the Rfam family "tRNA". Rfam says of the family: Transfer RNA (tRNA) molecules are approximately 80 nucleotides in length. Their secondary structure includes four short double-helical elements and three loops (D, anti-codon, and T loops). The record is from Rfam.
GCCGGGCUAGCUCAAUCGGUAGAGCGUGCGGCUCUUAGAUCACGUUCAUGUGACCGCAAGGCUGCGGGUUCGACCCCCGCGUUCGGCU